Molecule: ribosomal RNA, 253 nt
Filed under: uncultured bacterium
Lineage: Bacteria
Description: partial 16S ribosomal RNA
Rfam family: Bacterial small subunit ribosomal RNA
Source: RNAcentral
UACAGAGGGGGCAAGCGUUAUUCGGAAUUACUGGGCGUAAAGCGCGCGUAGGCGGCUGUGCAAGUCUGGCGUGAAAGCCCCGGGCUCAGCCCGGGAAGUGCGCUCGAAACUGCACGGCUCGAGUGCCGGAGGGGAGAGUGGAAUUCCUGGUGUAGCGGUGAAAUGCGUAGAUAUCUGGAGGAAUACCGGUGGCGAAGGCGGCAUCCUGGACCGGCAUUGACGCUGAGGAGCGAAAGCCAGGGGAGCAAACGGG